AUGGAGGUUAGCGAGGUCCUCACUGCCAACCGGGGACGUGAGAAAUCAGAACAAUAUGGUGCCAUCCGCGACGGGCCAAAUUUAGAGAACUUGCUGGAUAAUCGACGCCACUCAUUACUAGAGUGCAACAUGGCGCGAAGUGUUUGGACUCUGAACCCGGUGGAGGCGAUAGCGACACAGGGCGCCGGGUCGGACACUCAGCCACGACUGUGGGUUGUGAACCACAGAUGGAGCAGGACGAGGCGUGGCACGGAGAUGUAUAUCGUGCAACACACGGUGAAGGAGCACGUCGGCUCUUCGUCGUACCCAAUGCUCACCCGGACAUGCUACACCAAGUGGCCAACCUUAAUGCACGCCAAAAUGCAGGCGCAAGGGAUCUGGGAUCCCAUGAAGCACGAUGUUAGAUUCGAUCGAGAGGAAAGGAAUACCCUCACGGUGAUCCUGCAGUCCGUUCCACCGGAGAUGUUGCGCGUCAUCGUCGUCAAGAACAAUGCCAGGGAUGCCUGGAACGUCGUGCGGACGAUUCGCGUCGUUGUCGAGCGCGCCAGGGAGGCCAAGGCACAUAAGCUGCGCCGGGAAUUGAUAACCUGGCGACUGACGUUAAGGACGGGCUUUGCCAAGGGCAAUGACGGCAGCGCAGGGGGGGGCUACUUCGCACGAAGGAGUGGAACGACAAUGGAUAGACAACUUGGUGUAGAACGGCCGGGUGAACGAUCAGUGUUCGGUGGUUGGACUGAAAAUUUCAACAUCGAUCCUUUUGAUGGGAGCACGGCUUCAGUUCAGUUUGAGGGGUUCGGUCUGAGGAGUGGCACUGUCAUCUUAUAUGUCGGUAGAGUUGGCCUCAUUUGCCUCAACCUUGCCAGUUGCCACAAAAGAGGCGGUUGUCGUCUACCACCGCAGCGAUACGGCCUACAUCUCGCAGGUUUGCCUGCACGAGAUGGAUUUGUCCUCUCUGCUCCAGACCAUGAAGCCUCUGAGCUAGCUGCUUAUUAUGGAUCAGUUUUGGGAAUGUUCUUCAGUCAAGUUCUUGUUCUACUGCUUUGUUUGCUUAGAGCAGCUGUUUUAGCUCUAAGCAGCCGUGCUCCUUGGCCAAUACUAGUUGUAAAAGGAAUCGAGUCACUCCUAAUACGACCCACAAGGCCACAAAGAUGGCCGGUUCAUCGUAGAAGCAAAAGCAUGGGGAUCGGCAGUGACGGUACUGUCACCGGCGUCGGCAAGUACCUCAAGGAGAAGAAUCCCAAUGCGAAGAUCUAUGGAGUUGAACCUGCCGCCCAAGCAAAUAUUCUGAAUGGUGGCAAGCCAAGGCCUCACCUAAUCACUGCAAAUGGAGUGGGACUCAAGCCGGUCAUUUUGGACAUGGGCAUAAUGGAGAAGGUUCUUGAGUCCAAAGAUGCUGGAAUCAGAGGCCAUGCUUGCUGCAACCAGCAGCUACCGACGGCAAAGAUGACCGGCUCCGGUGCUCCAACCAUAGUUUUGUUUUUGUUGGCACAAGGCGAUAGGAAAGCUGCAACCACUUUGGCCGGUGCUGGAAUCGGACGGCGUCGAGAUCAUUUUUGCUGGAACUGGCAUUUUUUUUGCUUGAACCGGCAAGAUUUUUGUUGCAAGGACAGAUGUGAGUUUUUGCUGGCGACGGCGAUGUGUUUUUGGUGGAACCAGGAUAAUUUUUUGCUGCCGACGGCGAGCCGGUGCCGGCGACGCAAGAGAUGUUACAACCACGGUGACCACGAGCUGGAGCCGGCAGGCAUUAGAGUUGCGACGAUAGGAGGAGGCAAGCUGGAAGGGCAUGUUGCAACCACUGAGGCGAGGGACCACCGCGACCUCACCUGCGGUGGCUGGUCGCCUGCGCGCCCAUGGCCAGGGUCGGCGGCGCGCCCCGUCCUCUCCCCGUACCACGUGCCCCCCCUCUCGAAGCUCCCAAAUGCGGCGCGGGCGAAGAACGGCAAGGUAUCCGCGAAGAAGAACAAGGCGGCGGACGGCUCCAACUCCUCUAAGCCGUCGAGGAAGAAGUUUGCAGGGCGUGCGACGGACGCGGCGGCUACCGAAGCGCCGGCGAGCUCACUUGUUGAGCCGGCGGCCGACGCGCACAAGGUGUUCGAGGAAAUGCCCCAAAGUUUCAACGAUGAGGCAUAUAUGUCAACUAUGGGUGUUUGCUCCAACAAUUCUCAUUGGUCUCAAACCAAUGACAUGCAUUUCGAUGGCCAUGAGUUCGAGGUGGACGAGGAUGGUGAGGGCAUUGUCGACGCACCGAAAGGAAGAGGAGGCAGCUACACCAAUGAUGAAGAUGUCUUGCUAUGCAAUACGUGGUUGCAAGUGUCAAGGGAUCCAUCCGUUGGAGGUGAUCAAAGUAGAGAUGCAUAUUGGAACCGGAUGAAGGAGCACUUUGAUCUACACAACAAGAGUGGAGUUGACCGCUCGGAACGAUCUGUUUGGUCCUGA
This 2436-nucleotide ribosomal RNA is filed under the name Triticum aestivum (bread wheat). Its description in RNAcentral is "partial small subunit ribosomal RNA". The record is from RNAcentral. Lineage: Eukaryota; Viridiplantae; Streptophyta; Magnoliopsida; Poales; Poaceae.